UACGGAGGGGGCUAGCGUUGUUCGGAAUUACUGGGCGUAAAGCGCACGUAGGCGGCUUUGUAAGUUAGAGGUGAAAGCCUGGGGCUCAACUCCAGAACUGCCUUUAAGACUGCAUCGCUUGAAUCAUGGAGAGGCGGGUGGAAUUCCGAGUGUAGAGGUGAAAUUCGUAGAUAUUCGGAAGAACACCAGUGGCGAAGGCGGCUCACUGGACCGGUAUUGACGCUGAGGUGCGAAAGCGUGGGGAGCGAACAGG
Molecule: ribosomal RNA, 253 nt
Filed under: uncultured bacterium
Lineage: Bacteria
Description: partial 16S ribosomal RNA
Rfam family: Bacterial small subunit ribosomal RNA
Source: RNAcentral